GGUUCCCAUUAUGCCCACUUUCUGAAGGGUUUUUUUUUAUCAGAAAUGGGUGUUGGAUUUUGUCAAAGGCUUUUUCCACAUCUAUUGAGAGGAUCUUACGGUUUUUCUUCUUCAGUUUGUUAAUGUGCUGUGUCACACCGAUGGAUUUGCGGAUAUUGAAGAACCCUUGCAUCCCUGGGAUAAAUCCCACUUGAUCCUGAUGUACAAUCCUUUUAAUGUAUUGUUGGAUUUGGUUUGCUAGUAUUUUGUUGAGGAUUUUUGCAUUAAUGUUCAUCAUUGAAAUUGGCCUGUAGUUUUCUUUUUUUGUGGUAUCUUUGUCUGGUUUUGGUAUCAGGGUGAUGGUGGCCUCAUAGAAUGAGUUUGGGAGUAUCCCUUGCUCUGCAAUUUUUGGAAAUAGUUUCAGAAGGAGAGGUGUUAGCUCUUCUCUAAAUGUUUGAGAGAAUUUGCCUGUGAAGCCAUCUGGUCCUGGACUUCUGUUUGUUGGAAGUUUUUUAAUCAUGGUUUCAAUUUCAGUCUUUGUGAUGGGUCCAUUCAUCUUUUCUAUUUCAUCUUGGUUUAGUCUUGGAAGAUUGUACUUUUCUAAGAAUUUCUUGUUUAUUUGGGCUUUUUCUUGUUUCCUGAGGUGGGCUUGUAUUGCUAUAAACUUUCCUCUUAGAACGGCUUUUGCUGCAUCCCAUAGGUUUUGGAGUGUCGUAUCUUCGUUGUCAUUUGCUGCUAGGUAUUUUUUAAUUUCCUCUUUGAUUUCUUCAGUGAUCCAUUGGUUGUUUAGUAGCAUGUUGUUGAGUCUCCACGUGUUUGUGUUUUUUGCAGUUUUUUUCUUGUUGUUGAUUUCCAGUCGUAUAGCAUUGUGGUCGGAAAAGAUGCUUGAUAUGAUUUCAAUUUUCUUAAAGUUACUGAGGUUGGAUUUGUAGCCCAGGAUAUGAUCAAUCUUAGAGAAUGUUCCAUGUGCACUUGAGAAGAAUGUGUAUUCUGUUGCUUUUGGAUGGAAUGUCCUAUAAAUAUCUAUUAAGUCCAUCUGGUUUAAUGCUUCAUUCAGGGCCUGUGUUUCCUUAUUGAUUUUCUGUCUGGUUGAUCUGUCCAUUGCUGUAAGUGGGGUGUUAAAGUCCCCCACUAUGAUUGUGUUAUUGUCGAUUUCUCCUUUUAAGGUUGUUAGCAGUUGCCUUAUAUAUUGUGGUGAACCUGUGUUGGGUGCGUAGAUAUUUAAAAUUGUUAUAUCAUCUUCUUGGAUUGAUCCUUUGAUCAUUAUGUAAUGUCCUUCUUUGUCCCUUAAAAUAUUCUUCAUUUUAAAGUCUAUUUUGUCUGAUAUGAGUAUUGCUACUCCAGCUUUCUUUUGAUCCCCGUUU
RNAcentral lists this long non-coding RNA (1343 nucleotides) under Sus scrofa (pig). RNAcentral's name for it is "lncRNA (ENSSSCG00055029967.1)". Lineage: Eukaryota; Metazoa; Chordata; Mammalia; Artiodactyla; Suidae. The record is from RNAcentral.